UUGACCGGCGAUGUUUCAUUUCAAAUUUUCCUGCCCUUAUCCAACUUUCCGACGGUAGGGUAGUGGCCUACCGUGGUGGUAACGGGUGACGGAGGAUUAGGGUUCGAUUCCGGAGAGGGAGCCUGAGAAACGGCUACCACAUCCAAGGAAGGCAGCAGGCGCGCAAAUUACCCAAAUCCCAACUCGGGGAGGUAGUGACAAGAAAUAACGAUGCUCCGGCCAUCGGUCGGGUAAUCGGAAUGAGAACAAUUUAAAUCCCUUAUCGAGGAUCAAUUGGAGGGCAAGUCUGGUGCCAGCAGCCGCGGUAAUUCCAGCUCCAAUAGCGUAUAUUUAAGUUGCUGCGGUUAAAAAGCUCGUAGUCGGAUUUCGGGUGGCGCCUACCGGUCCGCCUUUGGUGAGUACUGGUAGGUACCACCUUUCUGCCGAGGACGGGGUACUGGGCUUAGUUGUCUGGGCCUCGGAGUCGGCGAUGUCACUUUGAGUAAAUUAGGGUGUUCAAAGCAGGCUUAUGCUCUGUAUACACUAGCAUGGGAUGACACGAUAGGACUUCGGUUUAUCUUGUCGGUCUGUAAAUCGGAGUAAUGAUUAAGAGGGACAGUCGGGGGCAUUCGUAUUUCGUAGUCAGAGGUGAAAUUCUUGGAUUUACGGAAGACGAACUUCUGCGAAAGCAUUUGCCAAGGAUGUUUUCAUUGAUCAAGAACGAAAGUCGGGGGCUCGAAGACGAUUAGAUACCGUCGUAGUCUCGACCAUAAAGAUGCACG
RNAcentral lists this ribosomal RNA (761 nucleotides) under Trentepohliaceae sp. Kukwa 18477. RNAcentral describes it as "SSU rRNA". It matches the Rfam family "Eukaryotic small subunit ribosomal RNA", at positions 280 to 1045 of the family's 1831-position model. The record is from RNAcentral. Lineage: Eukaryota; Viridiplantae; Chlorophyta; Ulvophyceae; Trentepohliales; Trentepohliaceae.